RNAcentral lists this ribosomal RNA (1317 nucleotides) under Triticum aestivum (bread wheat). Its description in RNAcentral is "partial small subunit ribosomal RNA". Lineage: Eukaryota; Viridiplantae; Streptophyta; Magnoliopsida; Poales; Poaceae. The record is from RNAcentral.
AUGGUUCUGGUCUGUCUUUUACUGGUUUUCCCUUUUUCAUGGUUUCUUUUAGUGGGUUCCUUUGGGUACCCAACUUCUUCCCCUCUCGGUACCGCACCGCGCGUUUCGGUAGCUCGACGAGUCACUCUCUUGACGUGCUUGCCUUACACGACAAAGGUCUCGCGGAAUGCCAACAUAGCCAAGCUCCAAGCAGGCUAUUUGUUUCCGGAGAUUGCCAGAAGAAGGGCAGCUCUUCUGCUGAAGCAUCCUGACGCCAAAAUUAUAAGUCUGGGAAUAGGUGACACUACUGAGCCCAUUCCGGAGGUCAUAACAAAUGCCAUUGCAGAGAGAGCACGUGCUUUAUCCACAGUGGAUGGCUACAGUGGUUAUGGAGCUGAACAAGGUGAAAAGAAACUGAGGGCAGCAAUUGCUGCAACCUACUAUCAGGAUCUUGGUAUCGACGAAACCGAUAUAUUUGUCUCUGAUGGUGCAAAAUGUGACAUUUCUCGUCUACAGGCAUAUGUUGAUUCAAGUGUUAUCAUGGGGCAAACUGACUUAUAUCAGCAGGAUGUUCAGAAGUGUGGAAAUAUUGAAUACAUGCGAUGCAGUCCUGAAAAUGGAUUUUUCCCUGAUCUUUCCAAGGUCCCUCGGACAGAUAUCAUAUUCUUUUGUUCACCCAACAAUCCUACUGGUGCUGCUGCAUCUAGGGACCAGCUAACACAGUUGGUCAAAUUCGCAAAGGACAAUGGGUCCAUAAUAGUCUAUGAUUCUGCUUAUGCCAUGUACAUAUCAGAUGACAGCCCAAAAUCCAUCCUUGAAAUUCCUGGGGCAAAGGAGGUUGCCCUCGAGACAGCAUCUUUCUCUAAAUAUGCUGGGUUCACUGGUGUCCGACUGGGUUGGACUGUGGUCCCUAAGGAGCUCCUUUUCUCCGAUGGGCAUCCAGUCGCUAAAGAUUUCAACCGCAUAGUCUGCACUUCCUUCAAUGGCGCAUCGACCAUCUCUCAGGCCGGUGGUUUAGGCUGCCUCUCUCCAGAGGGUCUAAAGGCUAUGCAAGACGUUGUCGGAUUCUACAAGGAGAACACAAAAAUCAUUGUCGACACGUUUGAGUCGCUCGGAUUCAACGUCUACGGUGCCAAGAAUGCCCCCUAUGUGUGGGUGCACUUCCCUGGCGGCAAUUCCUGGGAUGUCUUUGCCGAGAUCCUUGAGAAGGCAAACGUGGUCACUACUCCCGGCAGUGGAUUUGGGCCCGGCGGUGAGGGCUUUGUGAGGGUCAGUGCAUUUGGCCACAGAGAGAACAUUAUCGAAGCUGCGAGAAGACUGAAGCAGCUAUACAAAUGA